UUGAACUCGAGUUGGAAGAGGCGAGUCCGGUCUCAAAAUGGAGGGCCAUGAUCCAAAGGAACCAGAGCAGUUGAGAAAACUGUUUAUUGGUGGUCUGAGCUUUGAAACUACAGAUGAUAGCUUAAGAGAACAUUUUGAGAAAUGGGGCACACUCACAGAUUGUGUGGUAAUGAGAGACCCCCAAACAAAACGUUCUAGGGGCUUUGGUUUUGUGACUUACUCUUGUGUUGAAGAGGUGGAUGCAGCAAUGUGUGCUCGACCACACAAGGUUGAUGGGCGUGUUGUGGAACCAAAGAGAGCUGUUUCUAGAGAGGAUUCUGUAAAGCCUGGUGCCCAUCUAACAGUGAAGAAAAUUUUUGUUGGUGGUAUUAAAGAAGAUACAGAAGAAUAUAAUUUGAGAGACUACUUUGAAAAGUAUGGAAAGAUUGAAACCAUAGAAGUUAUGGAAGACAGGCAGAGUGGAAAAAAGAGAGGAUUUGCUUUUGUAACUUUCGAUGAUCAUGAUACUGUUGAUAAAAUUGUUGUUCAGAAAUGCCACACUAUUAAUGGGCAUAAUUGUGAAGUGAAAAAGGCCCUUUCAAAACAAGAGAUACAGUCUGCUGGAUCGCAAAGAGGUCGGGGAGGUGGAUCUGGCAACUUUAUGGGUCGUGGAGGAAACUUUGGAGGUGGUGGAGGUAAUUUUGGCCGUGGUGGAAACUUUGGUGGAAGAGGAGGCUAUGGUGGUGGAGGUGGUGGCAGCAGAGGUAGUUAUGGAGGAGGUGAUGGUGGAUACAAUGGAUUUGGAGGUGAUGUGGCAACUAUGGCGGUGGUCCUGGUUAUACUAGUAGAGGGGGCUAUGGUGGUGGACCAGGAUAUGGAAACCAAGGUGGUGGAUAUGGCGGUGGUGGAGGAGGAUAUGAUGGUUACAAUGAAGGAGGAAAUUUUGGAGGUGGUAACUAUGGUGGUGGUGGGAACUAUAAUGAUUUUGGAAAUUAUAGUGGACAACAGCAAUCAAAUUAUGGACACAUGAAAGGGGGCAGUUUUGGUGGAAGAAGCUCGGGCAGUCCAUAUGGUGGUGGUUAUGGAUCUGGUGGUGGAAGUGGUGGAUAUGGUAGCAGAAGGUUCUAAAAACAGCAGAAAAGGGCUACAGUUCUUAGCAGGAGAGAGAGCGAGGAGUUGUCAGGAAAGCUGCAGGUUACUUUGAGACAGUCGUCCCAAAUGCAUUAGAGGAACUGUAAAAAUCUGCCACAGAAGGAACGAUGAUCCAUAGUCAGAAAAGUUACUGCAGCUUAAACAGGAAACCCUUCUUGUUCAGGACUGUCAUAGCCACAGUUUGCAAAAAGUGCAGCUAUUGAUUAAUGCAAUGUAGUGUCAAUUAGAUGUACAUUCCUGAGGUCUUUUAUCUGU
Molecule: RNA transcript, 1386 nt
Organism: Microcebus murinus (gray mouse lemur)
Lineage: Eukaryota; Metazoa; Chordata; Mammalia; Primates; Cheirogaleidae
Gene name: heterogeneous nuclear ribonucleoprotein A3 pseudogene
Source: RefSeq, a predicted model, not a curated record